This 450-nucleotide ribosomal RNA is filed under the name uncultured bacterium. Its description in RNAcentral is "partial 16S ribosomal RNA". It matches the Rfam family "Bacterial small subunit ribosomal RNA", at positions 354 to 796 of the family's 1533-position model. The record is from RNAcentral.
GUGGGGAAUUUUGGACAAUGGGCGCAAGCCUGAUCCAGCAAUGCCGCGUGCAGGAAGAAGGCCUUCGGGUUGUAAACUGCUUUUGUACGGAACGAAACGGUCCUGGUUAAUACCUGGGGCUAAUGACGGUACCGUAAGAAUAAGCACCGGCUAACUACGUGCCAGCAGCCGCGGUAAUACGUAGGGUGCGAGCGUUAAUCGGAAUUACUGGGCGUAAAGCGUGCGCAGGCGGUUUUGUAAGAUCGAUGUGAAAUCCCCGGGCUCAACCUGGGAACUGCAUUGGUGACUGCAAGGCUGGAGUGCGGCAGAGGGGGAUGGAAUUCCGCGUGUAGCAGUGAAAUGCGUAGAUAUGCGGAGGAACACCGAUGGCGAAGGCAAUCCCCUGGGCCUGCACUGACGCUCAUGCACGAAAGCGUGGGGAGCAAACAGGAUUAGAAACCCUGGUAGUCC